CUUGCUCUUAUGAAGUUGGCGGCGGACGGCUGAGUAACACGUGGGUAACCUGCCCAUAAGACUGGGAUAACUCCGGGAAACCGGGGCUAAUACCGGAUAACAUUUUGAACCGCAUGGUUCGAAAUUGAAAGGCGGCUUCGGCUGUCACUUAUGGAUGGACCCGCGUCUCAUUAGCUAGUUGGUGAGGUAACGGCUCACCAAGGCAACGAUGCGUAGCCGACCUGAGAGGGUGAUCGGCCACACUGGGACUGAGACACGGCCCAGACUCCUACGGGAGGCAGCAGUAGGGAAUCUUCCGCAAUGGACGAAAGUCUGACGGAGCAACGCCGCGUGAGUGAUGAAGGCUUUCGGGUCGUAAAACUCUGUUGUUAGGGAAGAACAAGUGCUAGUUGAAUAAGCUGGCACCUUGACGGUACCUAACCAGAAAGCCACGGCUAACUACGUGCCAGCAGCCGCGGUAAUACGUAGGUGGCAAGCGUUAUCCGGAAUUAUUGGGGCGUAAAAGCGCGCGCAAGUGGUUUCUUUAAGUCUGAUGUGAAAGCCCACGGCUCAACCGUGGGAGGGUCAUUGGGUAAACUGGGAGACUUGAGUGC
This 593-nucleotide ribosomal RNA is filed under the name Bacillus cereus. RNAcentral describes it as "bacterial SSU rRNA". It matches the Rfam family "Bacterial small subunit ribosomal RNA", at positions 75 to 649 of the family's 1533-position model. The record is from RNAcentral. Lineage: Bacteria; Bacillati; Bacillota; Bacilli; Caryophanales; Bacillaceae.